Chiloscyllium plagiosum (whitespotted bambooshark) is the source of this 1312-nucleotide non-coding RNA. NCBI's taxonomy places the organism in Eukaryota, Metazoa, Chordata, Chondrichthyes, Orectolobiformes, Hemiscylliidae. The record is from RefSeq and is a predicted model, not a curated record.
CUAAACAGGCAAUGAACUAUGGUUUUUGAAAUGGGAUCACUAUUGUAAUGCAGGAAGACAGCAGCCAAUUUGUGCACAGCAACCUCCAACAACAUCACAACGACCAGUAAUCUGGUUUAUUGAUGUUGACGAAUGGACUAUAUAGAUUAGGACAUCAGGGAGAUUACCCUUACUCCUCCACAGGAUUUGCACCUGUCCGGCCUUAUUAGGAGCUGAAAGACAACACUCCUGACUGUGUGGCAUUUCCUCAGUACGUUUUUACCUUUCACGCUCAAUUGAACCUUCAGGCUCAGAGGCAAGUGUGUGCCCAAAACUCUGACAACAAUGGCAUGGCAAUGAUAGGGAUUGUCAGCACUGGAGGCAAGCUUUGGAAGAGCACCAAUAUCUCCAGACAUUUUUGGUCUGGAGGAGAUUACAGAGAGAGAGAGGGAUUGCAAAAUACAGUGGAGAAUUUUAAAAUAGAAUCUUAGCUUGGUUUAAUGGGACAGCUGAGAGAGAGAGUGUGUGUGUGUUAUUGAAGCAGACAGAGGGGAGAGGGAAUAUCAGGUAGGGGAGAAUCACAUGAUCUCUCCCUAGGCUACUGCUGUGUGUGGUGCCAUUAUGCUCUGCUGCCCAGUAUUAUCAUGGUGUUAAGAAGCCAGCCACAUUGUUACAAAAGUGUUUGAAGACCUGCCGAGGAAACCAGGAGGAGAUUGUGGGUGUGAAGAGCUUCUAGCCUUUCUCUGCUGAAACCCGAGAACCUGAACAAGAAUCAUUUAUAAACCGUUAAGCAGCAAUGGUAUAAAUAGCACGUUUGCAAAUAGCACGAGACUUGAUGUCACUUGUUCACUGGCCAUUUAUGUCGCCGUAAUUUUGUUGGGCCUGAAGGUUUCCGAUUUCAGCUGCUUGCAUCUGCCCUGUGUUUGUCCAGUAUCUCAUCAAAUACAGCUCGCCACACUCACUGUUUGGAGAAAUCUUUAAUGUUGGCAAGAAUUGAAAUUAACAGUCGUGUUUGACAGGGAGCCAUGGUUAAAUGUUUAAUCAAGAUUAAGACCAAAGUCAAUGUUCACCUUCGGAUGAUAAACCACUGUUACCGAGAUGUCAAAGUGCGGGUGCUCAGCCUCGGUCCCCGGAUUCUCAGCAAAGCUCUCGGUGCGUUGCCCAUUUUUCCCGCACUGACAGGGCCAAACCAGCAGGAGAGACAGCUUUCCAACACAUCGACUAUCUUACAAGACCCAGGUGCAGUUUAACCUUCUGUAGUGGGGAGCAAUUCAAUUCUGCAAACUCUCUUGACAAACUGUUCUGAAAACCACCAGGGAAAGUAUACGCUCAA